GGAGCGAGAACAACACUAACAUGAAUGAUCAGUUUUUGUUGUGUUUUAGUUUGUUUUUUUGGCUGGAGAAAAUGCCAUCCGUGCAGGAGAGGAAGGAUUGUGUGGCCGGGAUUUACCAAACCAGGUUUUGAGUUCUCAUUGGGCUGGACAUGUUCUUGGAUCUGGCAACCCUGGUUGGCAGUCUUCAGUCUUGUAGUGUGUGUUUGGCACUAACUGAUGUAAACAGGUUCAGAUGUGAUGCAGUCAGUGAGAUGUGCUCAUGACAGAAAUGUCAGGCACAGAUUGCAGAAACAAUAGAAAAGUUGAGAUCGCAGUUGAUAAAUAUCUGACAGUGAUUUCGGGUGUGGCAGAAGAAGGAGGAAGAAGUGUGUUACUGGAGAAACUGCAGUACAGGACUGGGU
Xyrauchen texanus (razorback sucker) is the source of this 401-nucleotide long non-coding RNA. RefSeq lists it as uncharacterized. The transcript has 3 exons. NCBI's taxonomy places the organism in Eukaryota, Metazoa, Chordata, Actinopteri, Cypriniformes, Catostomidae. The record is from RefSeq and is a predicted model, not a curated record.